This 515-nucleotide long non-coding RNA is filed under the name Lathyrus oleraceus (garden pea). RNAcentral describes it as "Pisum sativum (pea) long non-coding RNA (PSAT_LNC028826)". The record is from RNAcentral. Lineage: Eukaryota; Viridiplantae; Streptophyta; Magnoliopsida; Fabales; Fabaceae.
AUCACCAUUUAUGCUCAAACCAUCAACAAGAAUUCCAGAAACCUUUUUAUUUUUUUACAAUAAGAACUCUCACCAUCACUAUCAAUAUCAACUUCAUCAACCAUAACAUAACUCAACACAACAACAACACUCACCGCCGACAACCACCAAACGCCGGAAAACCCACGCCAUAGCCUUCAUAUACGUCGUUGCCGCCUUCAGGUCCGCCGCCAUCCACCACCAUUUGUUGUCUCAAUCACCAUUUGGUACAUUUCUUUCAUGAAUCAAUGGGUUAAUUUUCUGGAUUUUAAAUCGAUGUUGUGGUUGUAAAGUUUUGUUUGUUUGAGUGAGGGAGAAGAGUUUUUUGUUUCUAUAUUUUUUUAUUCUUUGAAAAAUGACAAGUGGUAAGAGAAGAUGAGAGAGAAUGAGAACAGAGGGAGAAAACUGAUUUUGUGAAUAUUAAUUUUGUUUCCUUUUUAUUUCUUUCUUGAUGAAGAUAUCUAGUUAAAAAUAGUCUAUUUUAUUCUUUAUUUAUU